This 57-nucleotide transfer RNA is filed under the name Strongyloides venezuelensis. RNAcentral describes it as "tRNA-Phe". The record is from RNAcentral. Lineage: Eukaryota; Metazoa; Nematoda; Chromadorea; Rhabditida; Strongyloididae.
ACUCGAUUAGUUUAUUUUUAAAAUAUGGCUCUGAAGAAGCUAAGAAUGAUUCGGGUA